GACGAACGCUGGCGGCGCGCCUAACACAUGCAAGUCGAACGAGAGAUGAGGAGCUUGCUCUUCAAAUCGAGUGGCGAACGGGUAAGUAACGCGUGAGGAACCUGCCUCAAAGAGGGGGACAACAGUUGGAAACGACUGCUAAUACCGCAUAAGCCCACGGCUCGGCAUCGAGCAGAGGGAAAAGGAGCAAUCCGCUUUGAGAUGGCCUCGCGUCCGAUUAGCUAGUUGGUGAGGUAACGGCCCACCAAGGCGACGAUCGGUAGCCGGACUGAGAGGUUGAACGGCCACAUUGGGACUGAGACACGGCCCAGACUCCUACGGGAGGCAGCAGUGGGGAAUAUUGCACAAUGGGGGAAACCCUGAUGCAGCGACGCCGCGUGGAGGAAGAAGGUCUUCGGAUUGUAAACUCCUGUUGUUGAGGAAGAUAAUGACGGUACUCAACAAGGAAGUGACGGCUAACUACGUGCCAGCAGCCGCGGUAAAACGUAGGUCACAAGCGUUGUCCGGAAUUACUGGGUGUAAAGGGAGCGCAGGCGGGAGAACAAGUUGGAAGUGAAAUCCAUGGGCUCAACCCAUGAACUGCUUUCAAAACUGUUUUUCUUGAGUAGUGCAGAGGUAGGCGGAAUUCCCGGUGUAGCGGUGGAAUGCGUAGAUAUCGGGAGGAACACCAGUGGCGAAGGCGGCCUACUGGGCACCAACUGACGCUGAGGCUCGAAAGUGUGGGUAGCAAACAGGAUUAGAUACCCUGGUAGUCCACACCGUAAACGAUGAUUACUAGGUGUUGGAGGAUUGACCCCUUCAGUGCCGCAGUUAACACAAUAAGUAAUCCACCUGGGGAGUACGACCGCAAGGUUGAAACUCAAAGGAAUUGACGGGGGCCCGCACAAGCAGUGGAGUAUGUGGUUUAAUUCGACGCAACGCGAAGAACCUUACCAAGUCUUGACAUCCCUUGACGAUGCUGGAAACAGUAUUUCUCUUCGGAGCAAGGAGACAGGUGGUGCAUGGUUGUCGUCAGCUCGUGUCGUGAGAUGUUGGGUUAAGUCCCGCAACGAGCGCAACCCUUAUGGUCAGUUACUACGCAAGAGGACUCUGGCCAGACUGCCGUUGACAAAACGGAGGAAGGUGGGGAUGACGUCAAAUCAUCAUGCCCUUUAUGACUUGGGCUACACACGUACUACAAUGGCGUUAAACAAAGAGAAGCAAGACCGCGAGGUGGAGCAAAACUCAGAAACAACGUCCCAGUUCGGACUGCAGGCUGCAACUCGCCUGCACGAAGUCGGAAUUGCUAGUAAUCGCAGAAUCAGCAUGCUGCGGUGAAUACGUUCCCGGGCCU
This 1333-nucleotide ribosomal RNA is filed under the name uncultured bacterium. RNAcentral's name for it is "bacterial SSU rRNA". It matches the Rfam family "Bacterial small subunit ribosomal RNA", at positions 28 to 1381 of the family's 1533-position model. The record is from RNAcentral.